Molecule: ribosomal RNA, 371 nt
Filed under: uncultured organism
Description: bacterial SSU rRNA
Rfam family: Bacterial small subunit ribosomal RNA
Source: RNAcentral
CGGAGGUCCCGAGCGUUGUUCGGAUUCACUGGGCGUAAAGGGUGCGUAGGUGGCUUUGCAAGUCUGAUGUGAAAUCUCCGGGCUUAACCCGGAAAUGGCAUUAGAAACUGUGAGGCUUGAGGCUUGGAGGGGAACUGGAAUUCUCGGUGUAGCAGUGAAAUGCGUAGAGAUCGAGAGGAACACCAGUGGCGAAGGCGAGUUCCUGGACAAGUCCUGACACUGAGGCACGAAAGCCGGGGGAGCAAACAGGAUUAGAUACCCUGGUAGUCCCGGCUGUAAACGGUGCACGUUUGCUGUGAGCGGAAUCGACCCCGUUCGUGGCGAAGCUAACGCGUUAAACGUGCCGCCUGGGGAGUACGGUCGCAAGAUUA